GACGAACGCUGGCGGCGUGCUUAACACAUGCAAGUCGAACGGUGAAGCGCCUUCCUUUUUGGUGGGUGGGGAGGAGUGGCGGACGGGUUAGUAACACGUGAGUAACCUGCUCCCUUCUUCUGGAUAGCCGCAUGAAAGUGUUGCUAAUACGGGAUAUUCUGGGUCUGUCGCAUGAUGGGUCUGGGACAGAUAUUGUUUCGGUUGGGGAUGGGCUCGCGGCCUAUCAGCUUGUUGGUGGGGUGAUGGCCUACCAAGGCGGCGACGCGUAGCCGGCCUGAGAGGGUGCGCGGUCACAGUGGGUGAGAGACGCUGCAGAGACCUACAGGAGGGGCAAGAGUGGAGAAUACUGCACUAGGCGCGAACGUGUGGGGCAGCGACGGCGCGUGAGGGAUGGGGGCUCGCGUCUUGUGACCCUCUUUCGAGGGUGAAGCAGGUGUGUAACGUUUGAGGGAGGGUUGACCGUAGCUUGAUAAGAAGCGCCGGCUAAAUAAGUGC
RNAcentral lists this ribosomal RNA (495 nucleotides) under uncultured bacterium. RNAcentral's name for it is "partial 16S ribosomal RNA". It matches the Rfam family "Bacterial small subunit ribosomal RNA", at positions 28 to 508 of the family's 1533-position model. The record is from RNAcentral.